RNAcentral lists this ribosomal RNA (460 nucleotides) under uncultured bacterium. RNAcentral's name for it is "partial 16S ribosomal RNA". It matches the Rfam family "Bacterial small subunit ribosomal RNA", at positions 338 to 795 of the family's 1533-position model. The record is from RNAcentral.
CCUACGGGAGGCAGCAGUGAGGAAUAUUGGUCAAUGGGCUUACGCCUGAACCAGCCAAGUCGCGUGAGGGAAGACUGCCCUAUGGGUUGUAAACCUCUUUUGUCAGGGAGCAACGCCGGCUACGUGUAGCCGGACUGAGAGUACCUGAAGAAAAAGCAUCGGCUAACUCCGUGCCAGCAGCCGCGGUAAUACGGAGGAUGCGAGCGUUAUCCGGAUUUAUUGGGUUUAAAGGGUGCGUAGGCGGAAUGCCAAGUCAGCGGUAAAAGCGCGGGGCUCAACCUCGCUCCGCCGUUGAAACUGGCGUUCUUGAGUGGGCGAGAAGUAUGCGGAAGGCGUGGUGUAGCGGUGAAAUGCAUAGAUAUCACGCAGAACUCCGAUUGCGAAGGCAGCAUACCGGCGCCCAACUGACGCUGAAGCACGAAAGCGUGGGUAUCGAACAGGAUUAGAUACCCUAGUAGUC